AGUGAACGCUGGCGGUAGGCCUAACACAUGCAAGUCGAACGGCAGCACAGUAAGAGCUUGCUCUUACGGGUGGCGAGUGGCGGACGGGUGAGGAAUACAUCGGAAUCUACUUUUUCGUGGGGGAUAACGUAGGGAAACUUACGCUAAUACCGCAUACGACCUACGGGUGAAAGCAGGGGAUCUUCGGACCUUGCGCGAUUGAAUGAGCCGAUGUCGGAUUAGCUAGUUGGCGGGGUAAAGGCCCACCAAGGCGACGAUCCGUAGCAGGUCUGAGAGGAUGAUCAGCCACACUGGAACUGAGACACGGUCCAGACUCCUACGGGAGGCAGCAGUGGGGAAUAUUGGACAAUGGGCGCAAGCCUGAUCCAGCCAUACCGCGUGGGUGAAGAAGGCCUUCGGGUUGUAAAGCCCUUUUGUUGGGAAAGAAAAGCAGCAGGUUAAUACCCCGCUGUUCUGACGGUACCCAAAGAAUAUGCACCGGCUAACUUCGUG
RNAcentral lists this ribosomal RNA (492 nucleotides) under uncultured bacterium. RNAcentral's name for it is "partial 16S ribosomal RNA". It matches the Rfam family "Bacterial small subunit ribosomal RNA", at positions 29 to 507 of the family's 1533-position model. The record is from RNAcentral.